RNAcentral lists this ribosomal RNA (119 nucleotides) under Carassius auratus (goldfish). The record is from RNAcentral. Lineage: Eukaryota; Metazoa; Chordata; Actinopteri; Cypriniformes; Cyprinidae.
GCUUACGGCCAUACCAACCUGGCUAUGCCCGAUCUCGUCUGCUCUCGGAAGCUAAGCAGGUUUGGGCCUGGUUAGUACUUGGAUGGGAGACCGCCUGGGAAUACCAGGUGCUUUAAACU